RNAcentral lists this long non-coding RNA (225 nucleotides) under Setaria viridis. RNAcentral describes it as "long non-coding RNA (SVIR_LNC001404)". The record is from RNAcentral. Lineage: Eukaryota; Viridiplantae; Streptophyta; Magnoliopsida; Poales; Poaceae.
CAAGAUUGUGCCUAUUGAUAAAUAAAGAGGAAACAAUCACUGUAAUUUCAGCUAUUAAAAAUUAAAAAAAUCCAAGUGCAAUCAAUUAUCUCGAUCAAUAAAUUAAUGUUGCCCUUCUUGUAGCAGAUUGUACUGCAGGCCUAUUUUGAACUACUAGAUCAGUAACUUUUGCCUAGAGUUUUGAACAGGUAGGCGACAGUGACCACUUUUUCUCUUGGUUAUCGU